RNAcentral lists this transfer RNA (73 nucleotides) under Ichthyobacterium seriolicida. Its description in RNAcentral is "bacterium JBKA-6 tRNA". It matches the Rfam family "tRNA". From Rfam's summary of the family: Transfer RNA (tRNA) molecules are approximately 80 nucleotides in length. Their secondary structure includes four short double-helical elements and three loops (D, anti-codon, and T loops). The record is from Rfam by way of RNAcentral. Lineage: Bacteria; Pseudomonadati; Bacteroidota; Flavobacteriia; Flavobacteriales; Ichthyobacteriaceae.
GGCGUCUUAGCUCAGUUGGUAGAGCAGAGGACUGAAAAUCCUUGUGUCCCCAGUUCGAAUCUGGGAGAUGCCA